GACGAACGCUGGCGGCGUGCUUAACACAUGCAAGUCGAGCGGUAAGGCCCUUUCGGGGAUACACGAGCGGCGAACGGGUGAGUAACACGUGGGUGACCUGCCUUCAGCUCUGGGAUAAGCCUGGGAAACCGGGUCUAAUACCGGAUAUGACUCCAUGACGCAUGUUGUGGGGUGGAAAGCCUUGUGCGGCUGAGGAUGGGCCCGCGGCCUAUCAGCUUGUUGGGGGGUGAUGGCCUACCAAGGCGACGACGGGUAGCCGGCCUGAGAGGGCGACCGGCCACACUGGGACUGAGACACGGCCCAGACUCCUACGGGAGGCAGCAGUGGGGAAUCUUGCGCAAUGGGCGAAAGCCUGACGCAGCGACGCCGCGUGAGGGAUGACGG
Molecule: ribosomal RNA, 384 nt
Filed under: uncultured bacterium
Lineage: Bacteria
Description: bacterial SSU rRNA
Rfam family: Bacterial small subunit ribosomal RNA
Source: RNAcentral